Molecule: ribosomal RNA, 301 nt
Filed under: uncultured bacterium
Lineage: Bacteria
Description: partial 16S ribosomal RNA
Rfam family: Bacterial small subunit ribosomal RNA
Source: RNAcentral
CAGCAGCCGCGGGAAUACGGAGGGUGCAAGCGUUAUCCGGAUUUAUUGGGUUUAAAGGGUCCGUAGGCGGAUCUGUAAGUCAGUGGUGAAAUCUCACAGCUUAACUGUGAAACUGCCAUUGAUACUGCAGGUCUUGAGUAAAUUUGAAGUGGCUGGAAUAAGUAGUGUAGCGGUGAAAUGCAUAGAUAUUACUUAGAACACCAAUUGCGAAGGCAGGUCACUAAGAUUUAACUGACGCUCAUGCACGAAAGCGUGGGGAGCAAACAGGAUUAGAUACCCGUGUAGUCCCUGUCUCUUAUAC